ACGAGCGGCGAACGGCGUAGUAACACGUGAGCAACCUACCCUCAACUUCGGGAUAAGCCUCGGAAACGGGGUCUAAUACCGGAUAUCACUCCUUGUCUCAUGGCUUGGGGUUGAAAGUUCUGGCGGUUGGGGAUGGGCUCGCGGCCUAUCAGCUUGUUGGUGGGGUAAUGGCCUACCAAGGCGUCGACGGGUAGCCGGCCUGAGAGGGCGACCGGCCACACUGGGACUGAGACACGGCCCAGACUCCUACGGGAGGCAGCAGUGGGGAAUAUUGCGCAAUGGACGAAAGUCUGACGCAGCAACGCCGCGUGAGGGAUGACGGCCUUCGGGUUGUAAACCUCUUUCAGCAGGGACGAAGCGAGAGUGACGGUACCUGCAGAAGAAGGACCGGCCAACUACGUGCCAGCAGCCGCGGUAAUACGUAGGGUCCGAGCGUUGUCCGGAAUUAUUGGGCGUAAAGGGCUCGUAGGCGGUUCGUCACGUCGGGAGUGAAAACUCGGAGCUCAACUCCGAGCCUGCUUCCGAUACGGGCAGACUAGAGGUAGGCAGGGGAGAGCGGAACUCCUGGUGUAGCGGUGGAAUGCGCAGAUAUCAGGAAGAACACCGGUGGCGAAGGCGGCUCUCUGGGCCUUACCUGACGCUGAGGAGCGAAAGCGUGGGUAGCGAACAGGAUUAGAUACCCUGGUAGUCCACGCCGUAAACGUUGGGCGCUAGGUGUGGGGGACAUUCCACGUCCUCCGUGCCGCAGCUAACGCAUUAAGCGCCCCGCCUGGGGAGUACGGCCGCAAGGCUAAAACUCAAAGGAAUUGACGGGGGCCCGCACAAGCGGCGGAGCAUGCGGAUUAAUUCGAUGCAACGCGAAGAACCUUACCUGGGUUUGACAUAUAGGGAAAUCCUCCAGAGAUGGGGGGUCCGUAAGGGUCCUAUACAGGUGGUGCAUGGCUGUCGUCAGCUCGUGUCGUGAGAUGUUGGGUUAAGUCCCGCAACGAGCGCAACCCUCGUCCUAUGUUGCCAGCACGUUAUGGUGGGGACUCAUAGGAGACUGCCGGGGUCAACUCGGAGGAAGGUGGGGAUGACGUCAAGUCAUCAUGCCCCUUAUGUCCAGGGCUUCACGCAUGCUACAAUGGCCGGUACAAAGGGUUGCGAUACCGCAAGGUGGAGCGAAUCCCAAAAAGCCGGUCUCAGUUCGGAUUGGGGUCUGCAACUCGACCCCAUGAAGUCGGAGUCGCUAGUAAUCGCAGAUCAGCAACGCUGCGGUGAAUACGUUCCCGGGCCUUGUACACACCGCCCGUCACGUCAUGAAAGUCGGCAACACCCGAAGC
Molecule: ribosomal RNA, 1322 nt
Filed under: Kribbella catacumbae
Lineage: Bacteria; Bacillati; Actinomycetota; Actinomycetes; Propionibacteriales; Kribbellaceae
Description: 16S ribosomal RNA
Rfam family: Bacterial small subunit ribosomal RNA
Source: RNAcentral